CCUACGGGAGGCAGCAGUGGGGAAUAUUGGACAAUGGGGGCAACCCUGAUCCAGCCAUGCCGCGUGUGUGAAGAAGGCCCUCGGGUUGUAAAGCACUUUCAGUGAGGAAGAACGCCUGGUGGUUAAUACCCAUCAGGAAAGACAUCACUCACAGAAGAAGCACCGGCUAACUCCGUGCCAGCAGCCGCAGUAAUACGGAGGGUGCGAGCGUUAAUCGGAAUUACUGGGCGUAAAGCGCGCGUAGGUGGCUUGAUAAGCCGGUUGUGAAAGCCCCGGGCUCAACCUGGGAACGGCAUCCGGAACUGUCAAGCUAGAGUGCAGGAGAGGAAGGUAGAAUUCCCGGUGUAGCGGUGAAAUGCGUAGAGCUCGGGAGGAAUACCAGUGGCGAAGGCGGCCUUCUGGACUGACACUGACACUGAGGUGCGAAAGCGUGGGUAGCAAACAGGAUUAGAUACCCGAGUAGUC
RNAcentral lists this ribosomal RNA (465 nucleotides) under Vreelandella stevensii. RNAcentral's name for it is "partial 16S ribosomal RNA". It matches the Rfam family "Bacterial small subunit ribosomal RNA", at positions 338 to 795 of the family's 1533-position model. The record is from RNAcentral. Lineage: Bacteria; Pseudomonadati; Pseudomonadota; Gammaproteobacteria; Oceanospirillales; Halomonadaceae.